RNAcentral lists this transfer RNA (93 nucleotides) under Candidatus Calescibacterium sp. RNAcentral's name for it is "tRNA-Ser". It matches the Rfam family "tRNA". Rfam says of the family: Transfer RNA (tRNA) molecules are approximately 80 nucleotides in length. Lineage: Bacteria; Candidatus Calescibacteriota; Candidatus Calescibacteriales; Candidatus Calescibacteriaceae. The record is from RNAcentral.
GGAGAGGUGCCGGAGCGGACGAACGGGACGGACUUGAAAUCCGUUGGGGGACUUAAAUCCCCCUCGUGGGUUCAAAUCCCACCCUCUCCGCCA